This 301-nucleotide unclassified non-coding RNA is filed under the name plant metagenome. RNAcentral describes it as "partial contains 5.8S ribosomal RNA, internal transcribed spacer 2, and large subunit ribosomal RNA". The stretch from base 1 to 105 matches the Rfam family "5.8S ribosomal RNA", at positions 50 to 154 of the family's 154-position model. The record is from RNAcentral.
GAAAUGCGAUAAGUAAUGUGAAUUGCAGAAUUCAGUGAAUCAUCGAAUCUUUGAACGCACAUUGCGCCCGCCAGUAUUCUGGCGGGCAUGCCUGUUCGAGCGUCAUUUCAACCAUCAAGCCCCCGGCUUGUGUUGGGGACCUGCGGCUGCCCGCAGGCCCUGAAAACCAGGCGGGCUCGCUGUCACACCGAGCGUAGUAGCAUACAUCUCGCUCAGGGCGUGCUGCGGGUUCCGGCCGUUAAAAGCCUUUUUUACCCAAGGUUGACCUCGGAUCAGGUAGGAAGACCCGCUGAACUUAAGC